Molecule: ribosomal RNA, 508 nt
Filed under: uncultured bacterium
Lineage: Bacteria
Description: partial 16S ribosomal RNA
Rfam family: Bacterial small subunit ribosomal RNA
Source: RNAcentral
GACGAGCGCUGGCGGCGUGCUUAACACAUGCAAGUCGAACGGGCCUUGUCCCCUUUUUUUUUGGGGGUGGGGUUAGUGGCGAACGGGUGAGUAACACGUGAGUAACCUGCCCCUCACUUCUGGAUAACCGCUUGAAAGGGUGGCUAAUACGGGGUGUUCUGUCCUGCUCGCAUGGGUGGGUUUGGAAAGAUUCGACCGGUUUUGGUUGUUUUGGUGGGGGAUGGGCUCGCGGCCUAUCAGCUUGUUGGUGGGGUGAUGGCCUGCCAAGGCUUUGACGGGUAGCCGGCCUGAGAGGGUGGGCGGUCACACUGGGACUGAGACACGGCCCAGACUCCUACGGGAGGCAGCAGUGGGGAAUAUUGCACAAUGGGCGCAAGCCUGAUGCAGCGACGCCGCGUGAGGGAUGGAGGCCUUCGGGUUGUGAACCUCUUUCGCCAGUGAAGAAGGUCCUGCUCUUUGUGGUGGGGUUGACGGUAGCGGGGUUAAUGAAGCGCCGGCUAACUACGUG